AAAUGUUGGGCUAUCAGAUUUACACCUUCAAAACAGACCUUCAAAAAUAGCCCCUUAGAGCACUAGGAACACGACAUCAGAACAUUUAGAACUGUCAGAUAUUCUUUGCUUCAACCCUUCAAGUCGAGCUGGGCUCUCGGAUCUGUAAGCAGUUUGGCCUGGCAGUGGCCCUUUAACUGACGAUAAACUUUGAGACAGGAAGUACACCAAUCGUUCGCGGAAACAACUUUACUUCUUCCUUGGCAACUGCCAAAGUUGUAGCUACCACCACACACUCACAGCAAUUUAACAACUCAAAGUUAACUAUAAAUUGGUUUGAAAUGCCUUUGAUUGUCAAAGAUUACACAUGGACACAGACAGAAAUGAUUGUUUACAUAAAUGUACCAUUAAAAGGAGUAAAGGUUGGGAAAGUAGAUAUCUUUUCCACAGACGAAUAUCUGAAGGUACAUUUCCCCCCGUUUUUAUUUGAAGCCUUCCUGUCUGAGCCGAUAGAUGAUGACAAAAGCACAGCAAAAAUUGGAAAUGGAGUUGCAGUUUUCACAUUGCAGAAAAAGAAGGAGAGACUGUGGGAACACCUUGUGAUUAAUAACAUGUGUGUAUCUGUUUUAGAUGACAAAGACAAAUCGAGAGAGAUCAGGGAAAGAGCACUCUUGAAAGCCCAGGAAAAGCUUGCUGCUGAGUCGAAAGCCAAAGCCACGAAAACACAAGAAGAAAGAAAAUAUGCACUGGAGACCAUGAUGAAGCUUGAAGAAGAGGGGAGAGCCAAGAUCCAGAAAAUGAAGGAUGAUGAAUGUGAGAAAGCAACAGCACAGUUGGAGGCAUGGAAACUGAAGCAGAGACAAAUAGCAGAGGAGGAGGCACAACUAAAGCUACAAAGUCAGAGAAUCAAGGUUGACAAACAAAGCAAAUCGGAAAAGAUACAUGUACCCAGAACAUCAGACCAAUGCAAGGUCAAGCAUGAUCAGAAAAACAGUGUUCAAUCAAUCAGCAAGAAAAAACAGGUGGAUUUGCCAGCUCCAAGAUCCACAGGCAACAUUCAAAUCAAGUUCACACCACGAGUGUUUCCCACGGCCCUACGAGAAUCAAGAGUACCAGAGGAGGAAGAGUGGCUUCAGAAGCAGGCCGAGGCCAGAAGGGCAAUACAUGCAGACCUGGCAGAGCUGAAGGACCUGACAGAAGAAGAGAGGAACCCUGACUGGUUAAAGGAGAAAGGAGACAAAUUGUUUGCAACAGGUAACUACUUGGCUGCGAUCAAUGCUUACAGCCUUGCCAUAAAGCUUAACAGAAAGAUUCCUACCAUAUAUUCAAACCGUUCUGCUUGUCACUUGAAACUAAGGAAUCUUCAUAAAGCCAUUGAGGAUUCCUCUUGGGCACUUGAUCUGUUGACGCCACCCGUGGCUGCCAAUGCAAGUGCCAGAACAAGAGCUCAUGUAAGACGAGGCACAGCUUUUUGUGAACUGGAGCUCUAUACUGAAGGUCUGUGCAACAUCAACAAGGGCAUUUCUCAAGCUAUAUGGCUCCCCUUGGCACUUUCUAUUUUAGUUUUAGAUCUCAUUGUUAUUCAUACUUGGACAAGUGAAAUGCAAAAAAGAGAAUAAUUUGCACAAUACACUGCAUCUCAGUGCUAGAAGUGUCACUACAGACACCCUGGUUCGAAUCCAGAGAUGGGUGUUUUGUACUUUACCCUCUGUAACACUGACCUCUGCUGGCUAAAAAGUAGAUUAUUUUGUUUGUUCUGCCCAGAAUGAAAAGCCGACUGGCCUUGUGACUGAAAUAAUGCAGCUGUGGAUAUCCUAGGCUAGGAAGUAGGGAUAGCUGGUUUAGCAGCCUAUGCCUACCAUGGCUGGUGCAGUCAGCUAAACUUUUUUUCUCUUGGAAAUAUUUUCAUAGGUCUUCAAGAUUACCAGGCUGCUUUGACAAUUGAUCCUCAAAAUGAAACUCUACAAGCUGACACACACAAAAUCAGACAAAUCAUCCAAGGGAG
Salvelinus sp. IW2-2015 is the source of this 1984-nucleotide non-coding RNA. The record is from RefSeq and is a predicted model, not a curated record. NCBI's taxonomy places the organism in Eukaryota, Metazoa, Chordata, Actinopteri, Salmoniformes, Salmonidae.